RNAcentral lists this ribosomal RNA (253 nucleotides) under uncultured bacterium. RNAcentral describes it as "partial 16S ribosomal RNA". It matches the Rfam family "Bacterial small subunit ribosomal RNA", at positions 524 to 776 of the family's 1533-position model. The record is from RNAcentral.
UACAGAGGUCUCAAGCGUUGCUCGGAUUCAUUGGGCGUAAAGGGUGCGUAGGCGGCGCCGUAAGUCGGGUGUGAAAUUUCGGAGCUUAACUCCGAAACUGCAUUCGAUACUGCGGUGCUUGAGGACUGGAGAGGAGACUGGAAUUCAUGGUGUAGCAGUGAAAUGCGUAGAGAUCAUGAGGAAGACCAGUGGCGAAGGCGGGUCUCUGGACAGUUCCUGACACUGAGACACGAAGGCCAGGGGAGCAAACGGG